CGUACACUCCUACGGGAGGCAGCAGUGGGGAAUAUUGCACAAUGGGCGCAAGCCUGAUGCAGCCAUGCCGCGUGUAUGAAGAAGGCCUUCGGGUUGUAAAGUACUUUCAGCGGGGAGGAAGGCGAUAAGGUUAAUAACCUUGUCGAUUGACGUUACCCGCAGAAGAAGCACCGGCUAACUCCGUGCCAGCAGCCGCGGUAAUACGGAGGGUGCAAGCGUUAAUCGGAAUUACUGGGCGUAAAGCGCACGCAGGCGGUCUGUCAAGUCGGAUGUGAAAUCCCCGGGCUCAACCUGGGAACUGCAUUCGAAACUGGCAGGCUAGAGUCGUGUAGAGGGGGGUAGAAUUCCAGGUGUAGCGGUGAAAUGCGUAGAGAUCUGGAGGAAUACCGGUGGCGAAGGCGGCCCCCUGGACAAAGACUGACGCUCAGGUGCGAAAGCGUGGGGAGCAAACAGGAUUAGAAACCCCAGUAGUCCCAUGAU
Molecule: ribosomal RNA, 480 nt
Filed under: uncultured organism
Description: partial 16S ribosomal RNA
Rfam family: Bacterial small subunit ribosomal RNA
Source: RNAcentral